This 492-nucleotide ribosomal RNA is filed under the name uncultured bacterium. RNAcentral describes it as "partial 16S ribosomal RNA". It matches the Rfam family "Bacterial small subunit ribosomal RNA", at positions 29 to 507 of the family's 1533-position model. The record is from RNAcentral.
AGUGAACGCUGGCGUUAGGCCUAACACAUGCAAGUCGAACGGCAGCACAGUAAGAGCUUGCUCUUACGGGUGGCGAGUGGCGGACGGGUGAGGAAUACAUCGGAAUCUACUUUUUCGUGGGGGAUAACGUAGGGAAACUUACGCUAAUACCGCAUACGACCUACGGGUGAAAGCAGGGGAUCUUCGUACCUUGCGCGAUUGAAUGAGCCGAUGUCGGAUUAGCUAGUUGGCGGGGUAAAGGCCCACCAAGGCGACGAUCCGUAGCUGGUCUGAGAGGAUGAUCAGCAACACUGGAACUGAGACACGGUCCAGACUCAUAAGGGAGGCAGCAGUGGGGAAUAUUGGACAAUGGGCGCAAGCCUGAUCCAGCCAUACCGCGUGGGUGAAGAAGGCCUUCGGGUUGUAAAGCCCUUUUGUUGGGAAAGAAAAGCAGCAGGUUAAUACCCCGCUGUUCUGACGGUACCCAAAGAAUAAGCACCGGCUAACUUCGUG